This 806-nucleotide ribosomal RNA is filed under the name uncultured euryarchaeote. Its description in RNAcentral is "bacterial SSU rRNA". It matches the Rfam family "Archaeal small subunit ribosomal RNA", at positions 72 to 879 of the family's 1478-position model. Lineage: Archaea; Methanobacteriati; Methanobacteriota. The record is from RNAcentral.
CAAGCGCCAGCGCGCGGCUCAGUAACACGUAGCAACCUUCCCUCGAGCCGGGAUAACCCCGGGAUAUAAUGGGGAAUCCCCCAUAGGUGAUGGGUGCUGGAAUUCGGCAUCGCUGAAAGCGCUCAGCUUCCGAGGAUGGGUCUCUGGCGGAUUAGGUAGUUGUCGGGGUAACGCCCCGCCAACCCGAAGAUCCGUACGGUCCAUGAUAGUGGGAGAUCGGAGAUGGACCCUGAGACACGGGUCCAGGCCUUACGGGGGGCAGCAGGCGCGAAACCUCCGCAAUGCGGGAAACCGCGACGGGGCUAGCCGGAGGGCCGAUGCCUCGCAUCGGCUGUCGGGGAGCCUAAAAAGCUCCCCACAGCAAGGGCCGGGCAAGUCCGGUGGCAGCCACCGCGGUAAUACCAUCGGCCCGAGUGGCGGCCACUAUUAUUGGGCCUAAAGCGUCCGUAGCCGGUCUGGCAAGUCCCCCGGGAAAUCUGGCGGCUUAACCGUCAGGCUGCCGGGGGAUACUGCCAGACUAGGGACCGGGAGAGGCCGGGGGUAUUCCCGGGGUAGGGGUGAAAUCCUGUAAUCCCGGGAGGACCCCCUGUGGGGAAGGCGCCCGGCUGGAACGGGUCCGACGGUGAGGGACGAAGGCCUGGGGAGCGAACCGGAUUAGAUACCCGGGUAGUCCAGGCUGUAAACGAGGUGGGCUAGGUGUCGCGACAGCCACGAGCUGUCGCGGUGCCGGAGGGAAGCCGUUAAGCCCUUGACUCUGGGAAGUACGUCCCCAAGGCUGAAACUUAAAGGAAUUGCAGGGGGAGCAC